CCUACGUGUGGCAGCAGUGGGGAAUAUUGCGCAAUGGGCGAAAGCCUGACGCAGCGACGCCGCGUGAGGGAUGAAGGUCUUCGGAUCGUAAACCUCUGUCAGCAGGGAAGAACGGUCACUGUGCUAAUCAGCAGUGAAUUGACGGUACCUGCAAAGGAAGCACCGGCUAACUCCGUGCCAGCAGCCGCGGUAAUACGGAGGGUGCGAGCGUUAAUCGGAAUUACUGGGCGUAAAGCGCUCGUAGGAGGUAUGUCAAGUCAAGGGUGAAAUCCCCGCGCUCAACGUGGGAACUGCCUUUGAAACUGGCAAACUGGAGUGUGUGAGAGGAUAGUGGAAGUCCAGGUGUAGGAGUGAAAUCCGUAGAUAUCUGGAGGAACAUCAGUGGCGAAGGCGACUAUCUGGCACAUAACUGACGCUGAGGAGCGAAAGCGUGGGUAGCAAACAGGAUUAGAUACCCCGGUAGUC
This 465-nucleotide ribosomal RNA is filed under the name uncultured bacterium. RNAcentral's name for it is "partial 16S ribosomal RNA". It matches the Rfam family "Bacterial small subunit ribosomal RNA", at positions 338 to 795 of the family's 1533-position model. The record is from RNAcentral.